RNAcentral lists this ribosomal RNA (541 nucleotides) under uncultured Planctomycetota bacterium. Its description in RNAcentral is "bacterial SSU rRNA". It matches the Rfam family "Bacterial small subunit ribosomal RNA", at positions 373 to 922 of the family's 1533-position model. Lineage: Bacteria; Pseudomonadati; Planctomycetota. The record is from RNAcentral.
GGGCGCAGCCUGACCGAGCGACGCCGCGUGUGCGAUGAAGGCCUUCGGGUUGUAAAGCACUGUCGAGGGGGAGAAAAGCCCGCAAGGGCGUGAUCGACCUCUGGAGGAAGCACGGGCUAAGUUCGUGCCAGCAGCCGCGGUAAGACGAACCGUGCAAACGUUGUUCGGAAUCACUGGGCUUAAAGGGCGCGUAGGCGGGCAGGCAAGUCGAAGGUGAAAUCCCACGGCUCAACCGUGGAAGUGCCCCCGAUACUGCCUGUCUCGAGGGAGAUAGGGGCGUGCGGAACUUCCGGUGGAGCGGUGAAAUGCGUAGAUAUCGGAAGGAACACCGGUGGCGAAAGCGGCGCGCUGGAUCUCUUCUGACGCUGAGGCGCGAAAGCCAGGGGAGCAAACGGGAUUAGAUACCCCGGUAGUCCUGGCCCUAAACGAUGGGUACUAGGUAGUGGACUUACAUGGGUUCACUGCCGAAGCAAAAGUGAUAAGUACCCCGCCUGGGGAGUAUGGUCGCAAGGCUGAAACUCAAAGGAAUUGACGGGGGCUC